GACCAGAGUUAAGUGAAGGCCACACCUGUUGCAUUGUGGGAAGAAGGUAUUCAGCGAGAGCCAACGUGGCUGCAGAGAAAAAUGUACGGGCUUAAACUAAGAUUUGCACGGUCCAAGAGGCGCACACGUUUUCACGGUGUCUUGAGGAUGGAAAUGUUGAAAUAAAUGUUAAAAAGACAUCUGUAUGAUGCGUGGCCGUAUUCAAUUGGACCAGUGUAACUACAGUGAAAACGUAACGCCAGCAUGGCCAAGAGUCUAAAGCGAGAGUCUUACUAAAGAGCAACGUGAGUCCGUGAAGAGAGCCAGAGCAAGAGAGAGAGAGAGAGAAAAGCAUCGCUGAGGCAGCGUGUGACCGGACAAGAAGCGAGAGAAAAGAUCGUGCUGAUUCACGGGAUAACAAAGGAGAGCCGUUCCUGACACAGAGUGCAGAGUUCCGCGAUUUCGCCAACAGAGGACAGCAACAACGAAGACUACAGCGCCGCAAAUGUCCCCUACAGGCGUCAGAGUGCAGAAUCCGUUUUCCUCCCUUGCUGUCAACACUAAACGGGCGGCUCCACGGACGGCGCCAGGUUUGAUUGUGCUAUCCUGUGCUUCUUUAUGGAACUUUGUUGGCUACAGUUUGAAAGAAAGGACUUGGUAAAACAAACUGCUGGUUCAUUGAGAGAGUAAUUUUAUCUGUCUUUACAGCCCAAUUGCUGUUACUGAAACAGUGUAAUUGUUAAUGUUUUAAUGUUAUUGCUAAUAUUUUUCCUCUGAGAGCUUAAAUACUCAAUCGAGUUCAGGUGAAUAGAAAUAGCAAUUGACUGCACUGAUAACUACAUUGUUGUAAAGGGCUUAUCUGCACAAUUAGCAAGUUAAUGAAUACAGUGCCUUAUCUAAAAUCUGCAAAAUGUCAGUUCAUGAAGAAAAAUCACCAAAUUAAGUGAAGAAAUAGAUUCUCUUCAGAAGAAGUUAAGUAGUUUGAGAGUACAGUUAAAGGCACAAACAGAUGAAGCUGAAAAGGAGAAAUUAGAAACACUUAUAGGUGACAUUAUUGCUAAAAUAGAGAUACUAAAAGUAUCAACGGUUGAACCUACUUCUAUUACCUCCCAGACAGACAACCUCAGGAGAUCUUCACGAGAUAGAAAAUUAACCCCAAAAAUGCUAGAGUUGAAGCAACAAGAGACCUCUCAAAAUGAGAGUAAAUUCAUAGCAUUAUAUGAAAAAUGGAAAGAGCAGGUUAAAGUUCCACGCAACAAUCUUAAAGAUGAGUGUUCUGAUGAAGACUUGUGUGGAAUGAUGGAUGCUGUAGAAGGGCUAGAAAAACAAGUUAAAGAUGCAUAUGUAAAUGUACGAUCUCAAUCAGCACCUUCUACUGAGAUUAGAAGGAAGGUGGAUUCCUGCACAGCGGUAUCAAGAGACUUGAUGGA
This is a long non-coding RNA of Etheostoma cragini (Arkansas darter), 1409 nucleotides long. RefSeq lists it as uncharacterized. The transcript is spliced from 2 exons. The record is from RefSeq and is a predicted model, not a curated record. NCBI's taxonomy places the organism in Eukaryota, Metazoa, Chordata, Actinopteri, Perciformes, Percidae.